UGGUGGUGCGAGCUGUCUGGUUGAUUCCGUUAACGAACGAGACCUUUGUGAGAUAAUAGUUGAAUCAAGAUAUUGCGUCAAGGCUCGGGCUCACGUAUCGGGGAAGGAUCCGUUCCUCCCGUUACUCUGGGCUCGAGUUACAAUCUAGAUUACAACUUCUUUCUCAGACAAAUGAAAAAAAUUACAUUGGAAGUUGGAGGCAAAAACAA
Molecule: ribosomal RNA, 209 nt
Filed under: uncultured eukaryote
Lineage: Eukaryota
Description: partial 18S ribosomal RNA
Rfam family: Eukaryotic small subunit ribosomal RNA
Source: RNAcentral